Molecule: non-coding RNA, 115 nt
Organism: Triticum aestivum (bread wheat)
Lineage: Eukaryota; Viridiplantae; Streptophyta; Magnoliopsida; Poales; Poaceae
Source: Rfam
UUCAUACUCCCUCCGUUCGGAAUUACUUAUCACAAAAGUGGAUGUAUCUAAAACUAAAAUACAUCUAGAUACAUUCAUUUCUUGGAUGAGUAAUUCCGAACGGAGGAAGUACAUG